ACCUUUGGAAAGCAAUCAGAGACAGACAAUUUGUCAAUAUUUUAUCUUCCAUUGUGGUUUUUGAUCUCUGUUUGUUGUUGUAGACAAGGGAAUCACCACUAACUCAAGGAUCGAUAACACAUCUAUAUGAUCUUUUGGUGAAUGGUAGCUCGGAAUCUUGGAAAAAGUCUGCGUACAUUUCAUCCAACGAUUAGAGAGCAGACUUUUGUUUUUUUUUUAUCUCAAGACUUUAAGAAAAAAAUGAGGUUAGUUUGUAUAUUGGCCAACUAUUUUUGAUUGUUUGGAAAAACUUUGCGUACAUAUCAGCUAACGAUUAGAGAGCACAGGUUUGUUUUUUUU
Molecule: long non-coding RNA, 339 nt
Organism: Arabidopsis lyrata subsp. lyrata
Lineage: Eukaryota; Viridiplantae; Streptophyta; Magnoliopsida; Brassicales; Brassicaceae
Exons: 2
Source: RefSeq, a predicted model, not a curated record